RNAcentral lists this ribosomal RNA (253 nucleotides) under uncultured bacterium. RNAcentral describes it as "partial 16S ribosomal RNA". It matches the Rfam family "Bacterial small subunit ribosomal RNA", at positions 524 to 776 of the family's 1533-position model. The record is from RNAcentral.
UACAGAGGGGGCGAGCGUUGUUCGGAAUUACUGGGCGUAAAGGGCGCGUAGGCGGCCCGCUAAGUCGAACGUGAAAUCCCCAGGCUCAACCUGGGAACUGCGUCCGAUACUGGCAGGCUUGAAUCCGGGAGAGGGAUGUGGAAUUCCAGGUGUAGCGGUGAAAUGCGUAGAUAUCUGGAGGAACAUCAGUGGCGAAAGCGACUUCCUGGACCAGUACCGACGUUCAGGCACGAAAGCGUGGGGAGCAAACAGG